RNAcentral lists this unclassified non-coding RNA (467 nucleotides) under uncultured Glomus. RNAcentral describes it as "SSU rRNA". It matches the Rfam family "Eukaryotic small subunit ribosomal RNA", at positions 569 to 1043 of the family's 1831-position model. The record is from RNAcentral. Lineage: Eukaryota; Fungi; Glomeromycota; Glomeromycetes; Glomerales; Glomeraceae.
AGCAGCCGCGGUAAUUCCAGCUCCAAUAGCGUAUAUUAAAGUUGUUGCAGUUAAAAAGCUCGUAGUUGAAUUUCGGGAUCAAUAUGUUGGUCGUGCCUCGGUACGUACUAGCUUAUUGGUUUCUCCUUUCUGAAGAACCAUGAUGUCAUUUAUUUGGUGUCGUGGGGAAUCAGGACUGUUACUUUGAAAAAUUAGAGUGUUUAAAGCAGGCUCACGCUUGAAUACAUUAGCAUGGAAUAAUGAAAUAGGACGUUUGAUUCUAUUUUGUUGGUUUCUAGGAUCGACGUAAUGAUUAAUAGGGAUAGUUGGGGGCAUUAGUAUUCAAUUGUCAGAGGUGAAAUUCUUGGAUUUAUUGAAGACUAACUACUGCGAAAGCAUUUGCCAAGGAUGUUUUCAUUAAUCAAGAACGAAAGUUAGGGGAUCGAAGACGAUCAGAUACCGUCGUAGUCUUAACCAUAAACUAUGCC